RNAcentral lists this non-coding RNA (76 nucleotides) under Pseudomonas baetica. The record is from RNAcentral. Lineage: Bacteria; Pseudomonadati; Pseudomonadota; Gammaproteobacteria; Pseudomonadales; Pseudomonadaceae.
AAAGAUCGCAGCCUUCGGCAGCUCCUACAGGAAAAAUGCAUUCCAAAUGUAGGAGCUGCCGAAGGCUGCGAUCUUU